CUUCCUCCUACUCUUCUUUCUCCUCUUCCUCCCUCCUCUUCUUUCUCCUUCUCCUCCUCAUUCUCCUUCUCUUCUUUCUCCUCCUCCUCUUCCUUCUCUUCUUCCUCCUACUCUUCUUUCUCUUCCUUCUUCCUCCUACUCUUCCUCCUCCACCACCUUCUCCCUCCUCCUUCUCCUCCUCCUUUUCUUCUUCCUCCUGCUCUUCUUUCUCCUCCUCUCCCUCCUCCACCUCUUCUUCCUCCUCCACCUCCUUCUCCCUCAUCCUUCUCCUCCUCCUCUUCUUCCUCCUACUCUUCCCCAUUCUCCUUCUCCCUCUUCCUCCUCCUCUUCCUCCUCCUUCUCCUCCUUCUUUUCUUCUUCCUCUUACUCUUCUUUCUCUUCUUCCUUCUUCUCCCUCCUCCUUUUCUUCUUCCUCCUCUUCUUUCUCCUUCUCCUCCUCCUCCUCUUCUUCCUCCUCCUCUUCCUCCUUCACCUCCUCCUCCUCUUCUUCCUCCUCCUCUUCCUCCUUCACCUCCUUCUCCCUCCUCCUUCUCCUCCUCCUUUUCUUCUUCCUCCUGCUCUUCUUUCUCCUCCUCUCCCUCCUCCACCUCUUCUUCCUCCUCCACCUCCUUCUCCCUCAUCCUUCUCCUCCUCCUCUUCUUCCUCCUACUCUUCCCCAUUCUCCUUCUCCCUCUUCCUCCUCCUCUUCCUCCUCCUUCUCCUCCUUCUUUUCUUCUUCCUCUUACUCUUCUUUCUCCUCCUUCUUCCUCCUCCUCCUUCUCUUCUUCCUUCUCCUUCUCUCUCCUCCUUUUCUUCUUUCUCCUCUUCUUUCUCCUCCUCCUCUUCCUUCUCUUCUUCUUCCUCCUCUUCUUUCACCUUCUCCUCCUCCUCCUCCUCUUCUUCCUCCUACUCUUCCUCCUUCACCUCCUUCUUCCUCCUCCUUCUCCUCCUCCUCCCCCUCGUCCUCUUCUUCAUCCUCCUCCUCCUUUUCUUCCUCCUCCUCCCCUUCUUCCUCUUCCUCCUCCUCCUUGUCCCUCCUCUUCCUCCUCCUCCUUCUCCCUCCUCUUUAUCCUUCUCCUCCUCCUUCUCUUCUUCCUCCUUCUCUUCUUCCUCCUUCUCUUCUUCCUCCUCCUCCUUGUCCCUCCUCUUUAUUCUUCUCCUCCUCCUCUUCUUUCUUCUCCUCUUCCUUCUCUUCUUCCUCUUAUUCUUCCUCCUCCUCCUCCUUCUCCCUCCUCCUCCUUUUUUUCUUCCUCCUCCUCUUCCUCCUUCUGCUUCUUCCCCCUUCUACGUCCUCCUCUUCUUUCUCCUCCUCCCUCCUCCUCUUCUUCUUCCUCCUCUCCCUCCUCCUCCUCUUCCUUCUCAUCUUCCUCCUUCUCCCUCCUCCUUCUCCUCUUCCUUUUCUUCUUUCUCCUACUCUUUUCUCCUCCUUCCUCCUCCUCCUCCUCCUCCUCCUCCUCCUUGUUGGUGAACCAGCUGAUUCCCCACUCAUCAGCAGAGCCCGUGGUGUGGCUGCGAGGCGCUCACCCUGGGAGGAAGGGCUCAGGGCUCUGUGAUUCUUGGGGUGUCGGGGGGUGC
Molecule: long non-coding RNA, 1554 nt
Filed under: Calidris pugnax (ruff)
Lineage: Eukaryota; Metazoa; Chordata; Aves; Charadriiformes; Scolopacidae
Description: lncRNA (ENSCPUG00000008381.1)
Source: RNAcentral